UACGUAGGGUGCGAGCGUUGUCCGGAAUUAUUGGGCGUAAAGGGCUCGUAGGCGGUUUGUCGCGUCGGGAGUGAAAACUCAGGGCUUAACCCUGAGCCUGCUUCCGAUACGGGCAGACUAGAGGUAUGCAGGGGAGAAUGGAAUUCCUGGUGUAGCGGUGAAAUGCGCAGAUAUCAGGAGGAACACCGGUGGCGAAGGCGGUUCUCUGGGCAUUACCUGACGCUGAGGAGCGAAAGUGUGGGGAGCGAACAGG
RNAcentral lists this ribosomal RNA (253 nucleotides) under uncultured bacterium. Its description in RNAcentral is "partial 16S ribosomal RNA". It matches the Rfam family "Bacterial small subunit ribosomal RNA", at positions 524 to 776 of the family's 1533-position model. The record is from RNAcentral.